GUCCACGCCGUAAACGUUGGGAACUAGAUGUAGGAACCAUUCCACGGUUUCUGUGUCGCAGCUAACGCAUUAAGUUCCCCGCCUGGGGAGUACGGCCGCAAGGCUAAAACUCAAAGGAAUUGACGGGGGCCCGCACAAGCGGCGGAGCAUGCGGAUUAAUUCGAUGCAACGCGAAGAACCUUACCAAGGCUUGACAUAUACCGGAAAAGUGCAGAAAUGUACUCCCCGCAAGGUCGGUAUACAGGUGGUGCAUGGUUGUCGU
Molecule: ribosomal RNA, 262 nt
Filed under: uncultured bacterium
Lineage: Bacteria
Description: partial 16S ribosomal RNA
Rfam family: Bacterial small subunit ribosomal RNA
Source: RNAcentral